This 2901-nucleotide ribosomal RNA is filed under the name Shigella flexneri 4343-70. Its description in RNAcentral is "bacterial LSU rRNA". It matches the Rfam family "Bacterial large subunit ribosomal RNA". The record is from RNAcentral. Lineage: Bacteria; Pseudomonadati; Pseudomonadota; Gammaproteobacteria; Enterobacterales; Enterobacteriaceae.
UUAAGCGACUAAGCGUACACGGUGGAUGCCCUGGCAGUCAGAGGCGAUGAAGGACGUGCUAAUCUGCGAUAAGCGUCGGUAAGGUGAUAUGAACCGUUAUAACCGGCGAUUUCCGAAUGGGGAAACCCAGUGUGAUUCGUCACACUAUCAUUAACUGAAUCCAUAGGUUAAUGAGGCGAACCGGGGGAACUGAAACAUCUAAGUACCCCGAGGAAAAGAAAUCAACCGAGAUUCCCCCAGUAGCGGCGAGCGAACGGGGAGCAGCCCAGAGCCUGAAUCAGUGUGUGUGUUAGUGGAAGCGUCUGGAAAGGCGUGCGAUACAGGGUGACAGCCCCGUACACAAAAAUACACAUACUGUGAGCUCGAUGAGUAGGGCGGGACACGUGGUAUCCUGUCUGAAUAUGGGGGGACCAUCCUCCAAGGCUAAAUACUCCUGACUGACCGAUAGUGAACCAGUACCGUGAGGGAAAGGCGAAAAGAACCCGGCGAGGGGAGUGAAAAAGAACCUGAAACCGUGUACGUACAAGCAGUGGGAGCACGCUUAGGCGUGUGACUGCGUACCUUUUGUAUAAUGGGUCAGCGACUUAUAUUCUGUAGCAAGGUUAACCGAAUAGGGGAGCCGAAGGGAAACCGAGUCUUAACUGGGCGUUAAGUUGCAGGGUAUAGACCCGAAACCCGGUGAUCUAGCCAUGGGCAGGUUGAAGGUUGGGUAACACUAACUGGAGGACCGAACCGACUAAUGUUGAAAAAUUAGCGGAUGACUUGUGGCUGGGGGUGAAAGGCCAAUCAAACCGGGAGAUAGCUGGUUCUCCCCGAAAGCUAUUUAGGUAGCGCCUCGUGAAUUCAUCUCCGGGGGUAGAGCACUGUUUCGGCAAGGGGGUCAUCCCGACUUACCAACCCGAUGCAAACUGCGAAUACCGGAGAAUGUUAUUACGGGAGACACACGGCGGGUGCUAACGUCCGUCGUGAAGAGGGAAACAACCCAGACCGCCAGCUAAGGUCCCAAAGUCAUGGUUAAGUGGGAAACGAUGUGGGAAGGCCCAGACAGCCAGGAUGUUGGCUUAGAAGCAGCCAUCAUUUUAAAGAAAGCGUAAUAGCUCACUGGUCGAGUCGGCCUGCGCGGAAGAUGUAACGGGGCUAAACCAUGCACCGAAGCUGCGGCAGCGACGCUUAUGCGUUGUUGGGUAGGGGAGCGUUCUGUAAGCCUGUGAAGGUGUGCUGUGAGGUAUGCUGGAGGUAUCAGAAGUGCGAAUGCUGACAUAAGUAACGAUAAAGCGGGUGAAAAGCCCGCUCGCCGGAAGACCAAGGGUUCCUGUCCAACGUUAAUCGGGGCAGGGUGAGUCGACCCCUAAGGCGAGGCCGAAAGGCGUAGUCGAUGGGAAACAGGUUAAUAUUCCUGUACUUGGUGUUACUGCGAAGGGGGGACGGAGAAGGCUAUGUUGGCCGGGCGACGGUUGUCCCGGUUUAAGCGUGUAGGCUGGUUUUCCAGGCAAAUCCGGAAAAUCAAGGCCGAGGCGUGAUGACGAGGCACUACGGUGCUGAAGCAACAAAUGCCCUGCUUCCAGGAAAAGCCUCUAAGCAUCAGGUAACAUCAAAUCGUACCCCAAACCGACACAGGUGGUCAGGUAGAGAAUACCAAGGCGCUUGAGAGAACUCGGGUGAAGGAACUAGGCAAAAUGGUGCCGUAACUUCGGGAGAAGGCACGCUGAUACGUAGGUGAAGCGACUUGCUCGUGGAGCUGAAAUCAGUCGAAGAUACCAGCUGGCUGCAACUGUUUAUUAAAAACACAGCACUGUGCAAACACGAAAGUGGACGUAUACGGUGUGACGCCUGCCCGGUGCCGGAAGGUUAAUUGAUGGGGUUAGCGCAAGCGAAGCUCUUGAUCGAAGCCCCGGUAAACGGCGGCCGUAACUAUAACGGUCCUAAGGUAGCGAAAUUCCUUGUCGGGUAAGUUCCGACCUGCACGAAUGGCGUAAUGAUGGCCAGGCUGUCUCCACCCGAGACUCAGUGAAAUUGAACUCGCUGUGAAGAUGCAGUGUACCCGCGGCAAGACGGAAAGACCCCGUGAACCUUUACUAUAGCUUGACACUGAACAUUGAGCCUUGAUGUGUAGGAUAGGUGGGAGGCUUUGAAGUGUGGACGCCAGUCUGCAUGGAGCCGACCUUGAAAUACCACCCUUUAAUGUUUGAUGUUCUAACGUGGACCCGUGAUCCGGGUUGCGGACAGUGUCUGGUGGGUAGUUUGACUGGGGCGGUCUCCUCCUAAAGAGUAACGGAGGAGCACGAAGGUUGGCUAAUCCUGGUCGGACAUCAGGAGGUUAGUGCAAUGGCAUAAGCCAGCUUGACUGCGAGCGUGACGGCGCGAGCAGGUGCGAAAGCAGGUCAUAGUGAUCCGGUGGUUCUGAAUGGAAGGGCCAUCGCUCAACGGAUAAAAGGUACUCCGGGGAUAACAGGCUGAUACCGCCCAAGAGUUCAUAUCGACGGCGGUGUUUGGCACCUCGAUGUCGGCUCAUCACAUCCUGGGGCUGAAGUAGGUCCCAAGGGUAUGGCUGUUCGCCAUUUAAAGUGGUACGCGAGCUGGGUUUAGAACGUCGUGAGACAGUUCGGUCCCUAUCUGCCGUGGGCGCUGGAGAACUGAGGGGGCUGCUCCUAGUACGAGAGGACCGGAGUGGACGCAUCACUGGUGUUCGGGUUGUCAUGCCAAUGGCACUGCCCGGUAGCUAAAUGCGGAAGAGAUAAGUGCUGAAAGCAUCUAAGCACGAAACUUGCCCCGAGAUGAGUUCUCCCUGACCCUUUAAGGGUCCUGAAGGAACGUUGAAGACGACGACGUUGAUAGGCCGGGUGUGUAAGCGCAGCGAUGCGUUGAGCUAACCGGUACUAAUGAACCGUGAGGCUUAACCUU